Molecule: ribosomal RNA, 492 nt
Filed under: uncultured bacterium
Lineage: Bacteria
Description: bacterial SSU rRNA
Rfam family: Bacterial small subunit ribosomal RNA
Source: RNAcentral
AAUCAACGCUGGCGGCGUGCCUCAGACAUGCAAGUCGAACGAUUAAAGCUCUCUUCGGAGAGUGUAUAGAGUGGCGCACGGGUGAGUAACACGUAAGUAAUCUACCCUCGAGUGGGGAAUAACAACCGGAAACGGUUGCUAAUACCGCAUAAUGCAGCGGCACCGCAAGGUGACAGUUGUUAAAGAUUUAUCGCUUGAGGAGGAGCUUGCGGCAGAUUAGCUAGUUGGUAGGGUAACGGCUUACCAAGGCUACGAUCUGUAACCGGUCUAAGAGGACGGUCGGUCACACUGACACUGAAUAACGGGUCAGACUCCUACGGGAGGCAGCAGUCGGGAAUUUUGGGCAAUGGGCGAAAGCCUGACCCAGCAACGCCGCGUGAAGGAUGAAGUAUUUCGGUAUGUAAACUUCGAAAGAAUAGGAAGAAUUAAUGACGGUACUAUUUAUAAGGUCCGGCUAACUACGUGCCAGCAGCCGCGGUAAGCUCGUCUCUA